AGGACGAACGCUGGCGGCGUGCUUAACACAUGCAAGUCGAGCGGAAAGGCCCUUCGGGGUACUCGAGCGGCGAACGGGUGAGUAACACGUGAGUAAUCUGCCCCUAGCUCUGGGAUAGCUCCGGGAAACCGGGAUUAAUACCGGAUACGACCACCUUAGACAUCUUUUGUGGUGGAAAGAAUUUCGGCUGGGGUGGGGCUCGCGGCCUAUCAGCUUGUUGGGGGGGUGACGGCCCACCAAGGCGACGACGGGUAGCCGGCCUGAGAGGGCGACCGGCCACACUGGGACUGAGACACGGCCCAGACUCCUACGGGAGGCAGCAGUGGGGAAUAUUGCGCAAUGGGCGGAAGCCUGACGCAGCGACGCCGCGUGCGGGAUGAAGGCCUUCGGGUUGUAACCGCUUUCACCAGGGACGAAGCGAGAGUGACGGUACCGUGGGGAAGAGCGCCGGCUAACUACGUGCCAGCAGCCGC
Molecule: ribosomal RNA, 473 nt
Filed under: uncultured bacterium
Lineage: Bacteria
Description: SSU rRNA
Rfam family: Bacterial small subunit ribosomal RNA
Source: RNAcentral